Molecule: transfer RNA, 73 nt
Filed under: Vicugna pacos (alpaca)
Lineage: Eukaryota; Metazoa; Chordata; Mammalia; Artiodactyla; Camelidae
Description: tRNA-Val (AAC) (tRNA-Val-AAC-30-1)
Rfam family: tRNA
About the family: Transfer RNA (tRNA) molecules are approximately 80 nucleotides in length. Their secondary structure includes four short double-helical elements and three loops (D, anti-codon, and T loops).
Source: RNAcentral
GGAGGGUAUAGCUCAGUGGUAGAGUGCAUGCUUAACAUGCAUGAGGUCCUGGGUUCACUCCCCAGUACCUCCA